This 424-nucleotide ribosomal RNA is filed under the name Galathea raventosae. RNAcentral's name for it is "partial 16S ribosomal RNA". The stretch from base 292 to 424 matches the Rfam family "Bacterial large subunit ribosomal RNA", at positions 2473 to 2606 of the family's 2925-position model. The record is from RNAcentral. Lineage: Eukaryota; Metazoa; Arthropoda; Malacostraca; Decapoda; Galatheidae.
UUUUAAUUGAAGGCUUGUAUGAAGGGUUGGACAAGGGAUAAGCUGUCUUUAUUUUUGUUUUGAAUUUGUCUUUUAAGUGAAAAGACUUAAAUUAUUUUAAGGGACGAUAAGACCCUAUAAAUCUUUAUAUUGAAAAUAUUCUUAUUUUAAUUUUUAAUGUAGAUGAGAGUAGGUUUACAAGAUAUUAUAUUGGGGUGAUAAGAAUAAUUAAUAAACUGUUCUAUGAAAAACAAGGUUGUUUGAUAAAAUAGUAGAUCCUUUUUAGAGAUUAGAAGUUUAAGUUACUUUAGGGAUAACAGCGUUAUUUUUUUUGAGAGUUCUAAUCGAAGAAAAAGUUUGCGACCUCGAUGUUGAAUUAAAAUUUCUUUAUGGUGUAGCUGUUAUAAGAGAAAGUCUGUUCGACUUUUAAAAUUUUACGUGAUCU